CCUCGCCACAUUGUCGCAUCAUCUCCCUCAUCACCGACCGCUACAACAGGAGAUUUGCCGCUCCUCCUCCAUCAUCACCAGCCGUAGCACCAAGAGAUCUGCCACCGACGAGAUCCAGCGCCUUGCAAGGUCCUCGGGUCGGCCUUGUCGUGCCCGCCACUCUGUCGACCAGAUAUGCGCCCUUGACUCCCUCUUCUCUCGCGUUGCAUGGUGCCUGCUGCUCCAGCAUGCCAUGGUUAACUCAUGGAUGACAGGGCCAUGGACCGGUCCUUGAAGGAGAGAAGGAAGAUGGGGAAGAGAGAAGGAAGGAGAGGAGGGAGAAGGAGAGAGGAAAGAGGAGAGGGACGUGCAGCGGUAGAUGGGAGAUGGUCAUUGGCCGGCAUCUCCUUCCCUUCUCUUCUCACCAUCUCCUCUUCUUUGGAGCUAGUUGAGUGAUCCAUGGUGAGGAAGAUGGGGAAGACAUAGACAGCAAAGAAGACAACUCGGCCCUGCUACUGAUGCGCCACGGGCCACUUCAGUCAGGUGCCUUCCAUUCUUCCUCCCUCAGGAUUUUCAAUCCAAGCAGAGCAUAAAAUGGAGCCGGCAACAGGGAUCAUGGAAAAACAACGGUGGCUGAAUAGUGGACACCCGAAGCUGGCCGAGACAGAGGGAUGCAGUGCAGGGCAGAAGAGGGCGUCCAUGUGGUAUCUGUUUCUGCUCAUCUUCAGCUUGCAGGUUGCUGAAUUUUCUCCUCUUUUUUCUGGUUUGCUUUGAUCAGUGGAACAAGUCGCACAACAUGUGUUUGCAUAAAUGCUUCUCACAGAUCAAGGCUUCUAUGUGCAGGUGAGCGGUUUACUAAAGUUCUAGCCCGUCCAUACUACAUGCUCCCAGAGGCAUUAAAGCACAACUAUGGCUCUGAAAUCGUUGUCUGGAUUGUAGGAGUUAUACUUUACAUACUUCCUUGUGGUGUGCAAACAUUUUUGGAAGGUACUUACUUUCCUUCAUUGGACAAAAUAUAUGUUGUGAAGAAAUUAUAAAUCACCUUACAAAUUGUCCAUGCCGCCGCCUUGAUUCGCUAGCCGCUGCCUAGAGUCACCCUGCUGUCGUCUCAAGCCAAACCGUGCGUCAACUCCACCACUGCAGCCAGGAAUCCCUUCCCUGGCAAGCUUACUUCCUCUGAAUCCCAGCUCUACCUGGUCCUCCUGUCGAGCUUAUUACAUCUAUGAUGUGUGUGUGCUUGCUACCUUGCUGCUGGGUGCUUUGUCGUUGGGUGUUGAGCCGCUGAUGUCCUGAUGCCGAUGCUUUGUUGUAUAUAUAUUUGUAUAAUGCUUGUAUCUUGCUUUGUUCUAAACUGACUGUUUUCCUUGUUGUGGCUGACCUGCUGAUAUUGCUGCUUUGCUGGCCAGGGAGUAAGUUCAAUGAUAUACAGACACAAGAGAUAUUCAGUUAUGUUGUUGGGGAAAUUAAUGAUCAUUCAGUCAACAAAUGGGGCAAUAUCUUGAUCUCAUUUCAUCGUAGGCAUUGAUUAUUUGUUGUCUUCUUUGCAUGCAUUUUAUUAAUUAUUUAUACAUACUUGUCGUAUCUUUGUACUGUUGUUUUUAUAAAAUGUCGUUUCCUGUGUGCCCGUUUCCAUAUCAUCGUAUGUAUGUUGCUGUACGACACUUCAUAGCAAAAACUUAUACUCACUAAAGAAAGUGUUCCUUUUCUUGUUCCAUUGCUCGAUAAGUAUGAUCAUGUUUCUACUGAUUGAUUAUACAUAUGAUCUUUCUUUUGAUUAUUUUGUGGUGUUUCUGAUUGACACUAUGAGGCGCUUCCUUGUCAUGCAGAUUCAUCCUUUAGUUAAAUUCUGAUGAUGAUAUGGCUGUAAAUUAGUCUGGUAUAUGCCAAUAGUUGUCUCUCCUAGAAGAUUUUUUGUCAGAAUAGCUUACUAAAGAUUUGGUUGUUUGUCUAGAUUUUACACCCAACUAUAAGAAUGGGUGACAACACUGAUUGGCUCUAUUGUGCUUCUGUGUUGUCCAGAUGCAUCAUUUACUUAUACACUAAUGAUAUUGUUGUAGCUAAACAAAUGGGUCAAAACCACAUCAACCCAGCUAUAAGAAUGCAAUCUUAUGAUUCAUACUCACCUAUGGAUGCUAUAUUGUACAUUCUUUUGAUGAAACUAUAUUGUACAUUUAAUAACAUGACUUCUUCCAUGAGAGAGCACUUCUUACAGGUUUAACUGAGUGAGAUGGGGUUUAGGCACAAGAAGAGGAACCAUGGGUGGGUGCUCUUGCAAUGCUCGGCUAACUCCCAAGACUGCUAGGGGAAGGACUUCCUGGUGCGUGUGUGAUUUCCUUCGAACCAAAUGAACCUAACAGAAAGUCAGAAACACACACACACACACAUGCAUUUUGUUCUUGUCCCUGAUGCUGUGUUGUUAUUGGUGUAGCCGCUGGAGAGGAAAGAGCAGAGGAUGUCUUGGGGGCUUGAUCAUUUUAUCUGUCUGUGCAGGGAUGGCAAGGCAGAUUGAAGGUGGUCACGGCCAUCUCACAGAGAUGGUGCAAGCUGUCAAGAAUCACGGUGCUGGGGCACUACACUUCGCCUCCGGGUGCAAGAUGGCGGAAGUGUGCGAGUACCUGUUGAGGUUGUCCAGGUGGACGUGGAUGCUGUUGACCAAGCAGGGCAUUGUGAAAUAGUAGAACUCUUGCUCUCUAGGGGUGCUUAUGUCGAUCUAUUUUAUAUGGAUCAUGGGAC
Molecule: long non-coding RNA, 2712 nt
Organism: Triticum aestivum (bread wheat)
Lineage: Eukaryota; Viridiplantae; Streptophyta; Magnoliopsida; Poales; Poaceae
Exons: 3
Source: RefSeq, a predicted model, not a curated record